This is a non-coding RNA of Caenorhabditis elegans, 140 nucleotides long. The record is from Ensembl. NCBI's taxonomy places the organism in Eukaryota, Metazoa, Nematoda, Chromadorea, Rhabditida, Rhabditidae.
GCUUAUCGCCUCUGUACAUCUUUUGUUUCUCGCCCCUCUUUUUUUGGCAUCGGUCAAAAAAGGAGACAUUUGCCCCCGGGGUUUGAUGGCCGGUGAGUGGCUAAUGUUACAAUAACACUGCGGGAAACACUGUCUACUAC